Molecule: ribosomal RNA, 465 nt
Filed under: uncultured bacterium
Lineage: Bacteria
Description: partial 16S ribosomal RNA
Rfam family: Bacterial small subunit ribosomal RNA
Source: RNAcentral
CCUACGGGAGGCAGCAGUAGGGAAUCUUCCACAAUGGGCGAAAGCCUGAUGGAGCAACGCCGCGUGGGUGAAGAAGGUCUUCGGAUCGUAAAACCCUGUUGUUAGAGAAGAAAGUGCGUGAGAGUAACUGUUCACGUUUCGACGGUAUCUAACAAGAAAGCCACGGCUAACUACGUGCCAGCAGCCGCGGUAAUACGUAGGUGGCAAGCGUUAUCCGGAUUUAUUGGGCGUACAGGGAACGAAGGCGGUCUUUUAAUCCUGAUGUGAAAGCCUUCGGCUUAACCGGAGUAGUGCAUGGGAAACUGGGAGACGUGAGUGCAGAAGAGGAGAGUGGAACUACAUGUGUAGCGGUGAAAUGCGUAGAUAUAUGGAAGAACAACAGUGGCGAAAGCGGCUCUCUGGUCUGUAACUGACGCUGAGGUUCGAAAGCGUGGGUAGCAAACAGGAUUAGAUACACCUGUAGUC